Molecule: non-coding RNA, 26 nt
Filed under: Homo sapiens (human)
Lineage: Eukaryota; Metazoa; Chordata; Mammalia; Primates; Hominidae
Source: RNAcentral
UGUGCAGUUGUGGACUCUGGAACCCC